UCAACCAUUUCUCUAGCACUUGGCUUGUUUCUGCUGCUGUUCUCUGUGACAGUUACAACAGCUCUGUGUCACAGUUCUGCAGUUGCUCUUUAAAGAAGAUUGCUAAUUUUGGCAUUUAUUUACCAGAUCUAGACUAUAUUGCUGUUUCCCCUGCUUUUUCAGCAAUUGGUCUCUGCUAUCACUGUUCAUAUGAGGUACUUAAAAUUGCAAGCUGGUAUAAAUGAAGACCUAAUUCCUAAGAAAAAUGGAGAAGAGGAAUCAUCAUUGGUGACAAUCCAACAUCAAUGGACUUUGAUCAUCUCUGGAAGAAAAAGGAAAAAACAAAACAAAACAAACAAACAAAGCACCCACACGUAUCUUCCCACAAUGUAUCGAGAUCAAUGUCUGAUGUCCAAGACUGGCAUGAAUGUGUUAACCUGUGUGAUGCAACAUGGACACCGUUGUCUCCCUCAGAAGUGACGGCUACCUGGCAGCGUGUCUGUGAAGCAGAUUACAGACCACUUGAUAUAUCUAUGACGCAAAUGUUGUGAUUUAUUUCUAUAAGCAUAGAAAUCUGAAUUUUAAUUUUUUGAUUGACAAAAUUCAGCCCUUAAGAAAUGACCCUUUCCUUUUUCAGUGGUGAGUGUCUUCUAGUGCCACUGGGAAAAUAUUUUUUGAGUUCUUCCUGUUUCAGACAGGAGAAGACUCCAAAGUACCCCAAGUAAGACCAUAACCAGCAAUCAGGAGCAUGAGACCACCUUCAACGGGAAUUUGAACUAUUUUCAAAGGGUGUAUUUGUGUGCAUGUGAGUGCAGAAGACAGUGAAUCCAAAAGAUAAAAACAACAGGAAAAAGGGCAAGGUGGCGGGAGAAAAAGACCACUGAAACACAUAUUUGGCCAUUGAGAUCUGUGGGUCAACAUGUUGUAGAGUUAUUUGAGAGCUUAAAUUCCAUCUAUGGAAUAAUAAAAAAAAAAAUGUUUUAUAAUCCUUAGCCCUUGUGUAUCACAGAACGAAGAUGGAUCUGAUGCUUAGCAUUAUAUUCAUUUACUAUUUUUAUUUACAGACUGGGGCACUAAAGGUAUUUCAGUACUUUCAACUAUUUCAUUUAGAUAGAUGUAUUGUAGUGAACAGUUGUUAAAGUACUUGUAAUACUAAAUAAAUUCAGUGUUGAAUUUAGUUUAUCAAUAAGCAACAUUUUGCUGAAAUUUAGGAACUAAUAAAUUUAAAACUUUGUGAUAACAGUUGCACAAAAAAAAUACAAAAAAAUUGUGGCAGUGUUAAGAAAGCAUGACUUAGAAAAUAAAACUAUUACAGGACCAUUUUCCUUAUUGCUUUUGUCUAAUUCUUGAAACCUGUUACAACCAAAAAUCAUAGAGGUUGAACAUGGUAAAAUAUCGCAGCAGUUAAUAUACCUAUUAAAGGCUUUUAUUGCAGGUGCCAGUUCAAAGAAAAAUUUAGCCUAUUCUGCUCAUAAAAGUGAGACCCAAGUAAUACACUUAUCUUUUAUACAGAAAAUACAAUACAUCUAUAUUCUAGUCAACUUUACAAAUGUUUACUCUGUUUAAGGUUGGUUUCACUGCUAAAAUUGUUUUCUUAAAAAGAAAACUAUCCAAGCUGCUAUUGAAGCAUACCUUCAAGGAAAGACUUACACACCCCUGAACAACUCUUCAUAUGGAUUUUGAUAAGGGGUCAGUUUUGACCCAAGUAAUUGGGAGUGCACAUGUUAAGGUCUUUCAGCUCCCUUGAAGAUCCCACUGACUCACAAGGACUCUGGCAGGACACAAUCCUGUAUUGCAGACGUCUCUGUAGGUUGAAGCCCACUCUUGGAGGACAUGGUUAUCGUUUUUGUUGUGAUGUACAUGACUUCAAGGUCCAAAUAGCUUGACUUGAAUCACUGUAGUCCAGGGAAUUAAAAAAAACCAAACAAACACGAAAGCCUUUAAUAGACUUUAAAACAAUUUUUUCACUGACUUCUUGUUACUGUGGAAUUCUUGACAGAAAUUCUUGAGCUUCUAAUUUCUAAAAAAUACAGUUUUAAUCCGUACUGGAUACAUGAUCCAGCAGAAUGUUCUCAUUAAGCAAUUCUACCAAAAUGGCGGCUAGUUCUUCUUGCUAAUUGGGACUUGUCAUACUUUACAUCUGUAAAAAAAACAAACCAAAACACCUAUAUUGACGAUAAGGACUCAAUAGAAAAAUUACUGUCAGCUCUAUAUCUUCAUUGAAGUUGCCUUUUAAACAAGAAUGUAUUCCCUGAAUUGACUUGAUAACUGAUAAAACAAGACUCAAAGAGGAAAAAUGAAUGAUUUUGAAUUUUUUGUUAAAUAGACAAUUUGUGGACCAUGACUAUGUAUGCAUUUCUGGAGCACACAGAACAGUGGGAUUACUAUCUGCAUGUAAUAA
Molecule: long non-coding RNA, 2380 nt
Organism: Columba livia (rock pigeon)
Lineage: Eukaryota; Metazoa; Chordata; Aves; Columbiformes; Columbidae
Exons: 3
Source: RefSeq, a predicted model, not a curated record